RNAcentral lists this unclassified non-coding RNA (351 nucleotides) under soil metagenome. RNAcentral's name for it is "partial contains 5.8S ribosomal RNA, internal transcribed spacer 2, and large subunit ribosomal RNA". The stretch from base 1 to 120 matches the Rfam family "5.8S ribosomal RNA", at positions 35 to 154 of the family's 154-position model. The record is from RNAcentral.
GAUGAAGAACGUAGCGAAAUGCGAAAAGUAAUGUGAAUUGCAGAAUUCAGUGAAUCAUCGAAUCUUUGAACGCACAUUGCGCCCGCCAGUAUUCUGGCGGGCAUGCCUGUCUGAGCGUCAUUUCAACCCUCACGCCCCUAGGGCGUGGUGUUGGGGAUCGGCCAAGGCCCGCAAGGGACGGCCGGCCCCUAAAUCUAGUGGCGGACCCAUCGUGGCCUCCCCUGCGAAGUAGUAAUAUAUUCCGCAUCGGAUAGCGAUGAGCCCCUGCCAUUAAACCCCCAACUCUUUCAAGGUUGACCUCAGAUCAGGUAGGAAUACCCGCUGAACUUAAGCAUAUCAAUAAGCGGAGGA